This 83-nucleotide small RNA is filed under the name Flavobacterium xinjiangense. RNAcentral's name for it is "Flavo-1 RNA". It matches the Rfam family "Flavo-1 RNA". Lineage: Bacteria; Pseudomonadati; Bacteroidota; Flavobacteriia; Flavobacteriales; Flavobacteriaceae. The record is from RNAcentral.
UACUAGCCCCGAUAGAAGCGGCAUCCUUUUUUAAGGGCAUUUUUUUGACCUUAAAAAAGAUAGAGCGAAUAGCGGGUCCAGUC